RNAcentral lists this ribosomal RNA (2905 nucleotides) under Salmonella enterica subsp. enterica serovar Newport. RNAcentral's name for it is "23S ribosomal RNA". It matches the Rfam family "Bacterial large subunit ribosomal RNA". Lineage: Bacteria; Pseudomonadati; Pseudomonadota; Gammaproteobacteria; Enterobacterales; Enterobacteriaceae. The record is from RNAcentral.
GGUUAAGCGACUAAGCGUACACGGUGGAUGCCCUGGCAGUCAGAGGCGAUGAAGGGCGUGCUAAUCUGCGAUAAGCGCCGGUAAGGUGAUAUGAACCGUUAUAACCGGCGAUACCCGAAUGGGGAAACCCAGUGUGAUUCGUCACACUAUCAUUAACUGAAUCCAUAGGUUAAUGAGGCGAACCGGGGGAACUGAAACAUCUAAGUACCCCGAGGAAAAGAAAUCAACCGAGAUUCCCCCAGUAGCGGCGAGCGAACGGGGAGGAGCCCAGAGCCUGAAUCAGCAUGUGUGUUAGUGGAAGCGUCUGGAAAGGCGCGCGAUACAGGGUGACAGCCCCGUACACAAAAGCGCAUGUGUUGUGAGCUCGAUGAGUAGGGCGGGACACGUGGUAUCCUGUCUGAAUAUGGGGGGACCAUCCUCCAAGGCUAAAUACUCCUGACUGACCGAUAGUGAACCAGUACCGUGAGGGAAAGGCGAAAAGAACCCCGGCGAGGGGAGUGAAAAAGAACCUGAAACCGUGUACGUACAAGCAGUGGGAGCACCCUUUGGGGUGUGACUGCGUACCUUUUGUAUAAUGGGUCAGCGACUUAUAUUCUGUAGCAAGGUUAACCGAAUAGGGGAGCCGGAGGGAAACCGAGUCUUAAUUGGGCGUUAAGUUGCAGGGUAUAGACCCGAAACCCGGUGAUCUAGCCAUGGGCAGGUUGAAGGUUGGGUAACACUAACUGGAGGACCGAACCGACUAAUGUUGAAAAAUUAGCGGAUGACCUGUGGCUGGGGGUGAAAGGCCAAUCAAACCGGGAGAUAGCUGGUUCUCCCCGAAAGCUAUUUAGGUAGCGCCUCGUGAAUUCAUCUCCGGGGGUAGAGCACUGUUUCGGCUAGGGGGCCAUCCCGGCUUACCAACCCGAUGCAAACUGCGAAUACCGGAGAAUGUUAUCACGGGAGACACACGGCGGGUGCUAACGUCCGUCGUGAAGAGGGAAACAACCCAGACCGCCAGCUAAGGUCCCAAAGUCAUGGUUAAGUGGGAAACGAUGUGGGAAGGCCCAGACAGCCAGGAUGUUGGCUUAGAAGCAGCCAUCAUUUAAAGAAAGCGUAAUAGCUCACUGGUCGAGUCGGCCUGCGCGGAAGAUGUAACGGGGCUAAACCAUGCACCGAAGCUGCGGCAGCGACACUGUGUGUUGUUGGGUAGGGGAGCGUUCUGUAAGCCUGUGAAGGUGUGUCGUGAGGCAUGCUGGAGGUAUCAGAAGUGCGAAUGCUGACAUAAGUAACGAUAAAGCGGGUGAAAAGCCCGCUCGCCGGAAGACCAAGGGUUCCUGUCCAACGUUAAUCGGGGCAGGGUGAGUCGACCCCUAAGGCGAGGCCGAAAGGCGUAGUCGAUGGGAAACGGGUUAAUAUUCCCGUACUUGGUGUUACUGCGAAGGGGGGACGGAGAAGGCUAUGUUGGCCGGGCGACGGUUGUCCCGGUUUAAGCGUGUAGGUGUGUGUUCCAGGUAAAUCCGGUUCACUUUAACACUGAGGCGUGACGACGAGGCACUACGGUGCUGAAGCAACAAAUGCCCUGCUUCCAGGAAAAGCCUCUAAGCAUCAGGUAACAUCAAAUCGUACCCCAAACCGACACAGGUGGUCAGGUAGAGAAUACCAAGGCGCUUGAGAGAACUCGGGUGAAGGAACUAGGCAAAAUGGUGCCGUAACUUCGGGAGAAGGCACGCUGACACGUAGGUGAAGUGAUUUACUCAUGGAGCUGAAGUCAGUCGAAGAUACCAGCUGGCUGCAACUGUUUAUUAAAAACACAGCACUGUGCAAACACGAAAGUGGACGUAUACGGUGUGACGCCUGCCCGGUGCCGGAAGGUUAAUUGAUGGGGUCAGCGCAAGCGAAGCUCCUGAUCGAAGCCCCGGUAAACGGCGGCCGUAACUAUAACGGUCCUAAGGUAGCGAAAUUCCUUGUCGGGUAAGUUCCGACCUGCACGAAUGGCGUAAUGAUGGCCAGGCUGUCUCCACCCGAGACUCAGUGAAAUUGAACUCGCUGUGAAGAUGCAGUGUACCCGCGGCAAGACGGAAAGACCCCGUGAACCUUUACUAUAGCUUGACACUGAACAUUGAGCCUUGAUGUGUAGGAUAGGUGGGAGGCUUUGAAGUGUGGACGCCAGUCUGCAUGGAGCCGACCUUGAAAUACCACCCUUUAAUGUUUGAUGUUCUAACGUGGACCCGUGAUCCGGGUUGCGGACAGUGUCUGGUGGGUAGUUUGACUGGGGCGGUCUCCUCCUAAAGAGUAACGGAGGAGCACGAAGGUUGGCUAAUCCUGGUCGGACAUCAGGAGGUUAGUGCAAUGGCAUAAGCCAGCUUGACUGCGAGCGUGACGGCGCGAGCAGGUGCGAAAGCAGGUCAUAGUGAUCCGGUGGUUCUGAAUGGAAGGGCCAUCGCUCAACGGAUAAAAGGUACUCCGGGGAUAACAGGCUGAUACCGCCCAAGAGUUCAUAUCGACGGCGGUGUUUGGCACCUCGAUGUCGGCUCAUCACAUCCUGGGGCUGAAGUAGGUCCCAAGGGUAUGGCUGUUCGCCAUUUAAAGUGGUACGCGAGCUGGGUUUAGAACGUCGUGAGACAGUUCGGUCCCUAUCUGCCGUGGGCGCUGGAGAACUGAGGGGGGCUGCUCCUAGUACGAGAGGACCGGAGUGGACGCAUCACUGGUGUUCGGGUUGUCAUGCCAAUGGCACUGCCCGGUAGCUAAAUGCGGAAGAGAUAAGUGCUGAAAGCAUCUAAGCACGAAACUUGCCCCGAGAUGAGUUCUCCCUGAGACUUAGAGUCUCCUGAAGGAACGUUGAAGACGACGACGUUGAUAGGCCGGGUGUGUAAGCGCAGCGAUGCGUUGAGCUAACCGGUACUAAUGAACCGUGAGGCUUAACCUU